Molecule: ribosomal RNA, 505 nt
Filed under: uncultured bacterium
Lineage: Bacteria
Description: partial 16S ribosomal RNA
Rfam family: Bacterial small subunit ribosomal RNA
Source: RNAcentral
GACGAACGCUGGCGGCGUGCCUAAUACAUGCAAGUAGAACGCACAGUUUAUACCGUAGCUUGCUACACCAUAGACUGUGAGUUGCGAACGGGUGAGUAACGCGUAGGUAACCUGCCUGGUAGCGGGGGAUAACUAUUGGAAACGAUAGCUAAUACCGCAUAAUAUUAAUUAUUGCAUGAUAAUUAAUUGAAAGGUGCAAUUGCACCACUACCAGAUGGACCUGCGUUGUAUUAGCUAGUAGGUGAGGUAACGGCUCACCUAGGCGACGAUACAUAGCCGACCUGAGAGGGUGAUCGGCCACACUGGGACUGGGACACGGCCCAGACCCCUAAGGGAGGCAGCAGUAGGGAAUUUUCGGCAAUGGACGAAAGUCUGACCGAGCAACGCCGCGGGAGUGAAGAAGGGUUUCGGAUCGUAAAGAUCUGUUGUAAGAGAAGAAAGGGUGUGAGAGUGGAAAGUUCACACUGUGACGGUAUCUUACCAGAAAGGGACGGCUAACUACGUG